Molecule: ribosomal RNA, 450 nt
Filed under: uncultured organism
Description: partial 16S ribosomal RNA
Rfam family: Bacterial small subunit ribosomal RNA
Source: RNAcentral
CACUCCUACGGGAGGCAGCAGUGGGGAAUAUUGGACAAUGGGCGCAAGCCUGAUCCAGCCAUGCCGCGUGAGUGAUGAAGGCCCUAGGGUUGUAAAGCUCUUUCACCGGUGAAGAUAAUGACGGUAACCGGAGAAGAAGCCCCGGCUAACUUCGUGCCAGCAGCCGCGGUAAUACGAAGGGGGCUAGCGUUGUUCGGAUUUACUGGGCGUAAAGCGCACGUAGGCGGACUAUUAAGUCAGGGGUGAAAUCCCGGGGCUCAACCCCGGAACUGCCUUUGAUACUGGUAGUCUUGAGUUCGAGAGAGGUGAGUGGAAUUCCGAGUGUAGAGGUGAAAUUCGUAGAUAUUCGGAGGAACACCAGUGGCGAAGGCGGCUCACUGGCUCGAUACUGACGCUGAGGUGCGAAAGCGUGGGGAGCAAACAGGAUGAGAAACCCUUGUAGUCCCAUGA